Molecule: ribosomal RNA, 205 nt
Filed under: uncultured bacterium
Lineage: Bacteria
Description: partial 16S ribosomal RNA
Rfam family: Bacterial small subunit ribosomal RNA
Source: RNAcentral
CGCCGAUGGAGGGGGGAUAACUACUGGAAACGGUAGCUAAUACCGCAUAACGUCGCAAGACCAAAGAGGGGGACCUUCGGGCCUCUUGCCAUCGGAUGUGCCCAGAUGGGAUUAGCUAGUAGGUGGGGUAACGGCUCACCUAGGCGACGAUCCCUAGCUGGUCUGAGAGGAUGACCAGCCACACUGGAACUGAGACACGGUCCAG